This 335-nucleotide ribosomal RNA is filed under the name uncultured bacterium. Its description in RNAcentral is "bacterial SSU rRNA". It matches the Rfam family "Bacterial small subunit ribosomal RNA", at positions 28 to 327 of the family's 1533-position model. The record is from RNAcentral.
GACGAACGCUGGCGGCGUGCCUAAUACAUGCAAGUCGAACGCACUCUCGUUUAGAUUGAAGGAGCUUGCUCCUGAUUGAUAAACAUUUGAGUGAGUGGCGGACGGGUGAGUAACACGUGGGUAACCUGCCCUAAAGUGGGGGAUAACAUUUGGAAACAGAUGCUAAUACCGCAUAAAACCUAACACCGCAUGGUGUAGGGUUGAAAGAUGGUUUCGGCUAUCACUUUAGGAUGGACCCGCGGUGCAUUAGUUAGUUGGUGAGGUAAAGGCUCACCAAGACCGUGAUGCAUAGCCGACCUGAGAGGGGUAAAUCGGCCACACUGGGACUGAGACAC